AUAUAUCCUGAGAUGUGAUGCCGAGCCGAUUGUGGUGAAGUGGAUGAUCCUAUGCUGCCGAGAAAAGCCUCUAGUGAGUGUUGUGGCGGCCCGUACCCUAAACCGACUCAGGUGGUCAGGUAGAGAAUACCAAGGCGAUCGGGUGAACUGUGGUUAAGGAACUCGGCAAAUUGCCCCCGUAACUUCGGGAGAAGGGGGACCUCUGCUGGUGAUGGGCUUUACGUUCUGAGCUGGUGGGGGUCGCAGUGGCCAGGGGGAAGCGACUGUUUACUAAAAACACAGGUCCGUGCGAAGUCGUAAGACGAUGUAUACGGACUGACGCCUGCCCGGUGCCGGAACGUUAAGGGGACCGCUUAGCCAACGCGAGUUGGCGAAGGUGAGAACUUAAGCGCCGGUAAACGGCGGUGGUAACUAUAACCAUCCUAAGGUAGCGAAAUUCCUUGUCGGGUAAGUUCCGACCUGCACGAAUGGCGUAACGACUUCCCCGCUGUCUCAACCACAGACCCGGCGAAAUUGCACUACGAGUAAAGAUGCUCGUUUCGCGCAGCAGGACGGAAAGACCCCGGGACCUUCACUACAGCUUGACAUUGGCGUUUGGAACGUCUUGUGUAGGAUAGGUGGGAGACUGGGAAGCUGUCACGCUAGUGAUGGUGGAGUCAUUGGUGAAAUACCACUCUGGUCGUUUUGAACGUCUAACUCUGGUCCGUGAUCCGGAUCGGGGACGGUGUCUGGUGGGUAGUUUAACUGGGGCGGUUGCCUCCUAAAGAGUAACGGAGGCGCCCAAAGGUUCCCUCAGCCUGGUUGGCAAUCAGGUGUUGAGUGUAAGUGCACAAGGGAGCUUGACUGUGAGACUGACAGGUCGAGCAGGAGCGUAAGCUGGGACUAGUGAUCCGGCAUCGGCGUGUGGAAGCGGUGUCGCUCAACGGCUAAAAGGUACCCCGGGGAUAACAGGCUGAUCUUCCCCAAGAGUCCAUAUCGACGGGAUGGUUUGGCACCUCGAUGUCGGCUCGUCGCAUCCUGGGGCUGGAGUAGGUCCCAAGGGUUGGGCUGUUCGCCCAUUAAAGCGGUACGCGAGCUGGGUUUAGAACGUCGCGAGACAGUUCGGUCCCUAUCCGCUGCGCGCGCAGGAGACUUGAAGGGGGCUGUCCCUAGUACGAGAGGACCGGGACGGACGAACCUCUGGUGUGCCAGUUGUACCGCCAGGUGCACGGCUGGUUGGCUACGUUCGGAAGGGAUAACCGCUGAAAGCAUCUAAGCGGGAAGCUCGCCUUGAGAUGAGGUCUCCCACCCCGUGAGGGGGUAAGGCUCCCGGUAGAUCACCGGGUUGAUAGGCCGGAGGUGGAAGCACGGUAACGUGUGGAGCUGACCGGUACUAAUAGGCCGAGGACUUGACCAU
RNAcentral lists this ribosomal RNA (1396 nucleotides) under metagenome. RNAcentral's name for it is "bacterial LSU rRNA". It matches the Rfam family "Bacterial large subunit ribosomal RNA", at positions 1549 to 2925 of the family's 2925-position model. The record is from RNAcentral.